GUAGGCGGUUUAAUAAGUGAAUAGUGAAACCUGGUGGCUCAACCAUACAGACUAUUAUUCAAACUGUUAAACUCGGGAAUGGUAGAGGUAACNUGGAAUUUCUAGUGUAGGAGUGAAAUCCGUAGAUAUUAGAAGGAACACCGAUGGCGUAGGCAGGUUACUGGGCCAUUUCUGACGCUAAGGCACGAAAGCGUGGGGAGCGAACCGGAUUAGAUACCCGGGUAGUCCACGCCGUAAACGAUGGAUACUAGCUGUUGGAGGUAUCGACCCCUUCAGUAGCGAAGCUAACGCGUUAAGUAUCCCGCCUGUGGAGUACGGCCGCAAGGCUAAAACAUAAAGGAAUUGACGGGGACCCGCACAAGCGGUGGAUUAUGUUCUUUAAUUCGAUGAUAACCGAAGAACCUUACCAGGGCUUGACAUCCAGGGAAGGUCUGCGAAAGUAGACUGUGCCUUUUGGAACCCUGUGACAGGUGAUGCAUGGCCGUCGUCAGCUCGUGUCGUGAGAUGUUAGGUUAAGUCCUUCAACGAGCGCAACCCUUGUGAAUAGUUGUAUUUUUCUAUUCAGACUGCCCCCGUAACGGGGAGGAAGGAGGGGAUGAUGUCAGGUCAGUAUUUCCCUUACGUCCUGGGCUAGAAACGUAAUACAAUGGCUAGUACAAUGCGCAGCGAAGCCCCGAGGUGAAGCAAAUCGCAUCAAAGCUAGUCC
Molecule: ribosomal RNA, 706 nt
Filed under: uncultured Candidatus Saccharibacteria bacterium
Lineage: Bacteria; Candidatus Saccharimonadota
Description: bacterial SSU rRNA
Rfam family: Bacterial small subunit ribosomal RNA
Source: RNAcentral